Molecule: small RNA, 28 nt
Filed under: Bombyx mori (domestic silkworm)
Lineage: Eukaryota; Metazoa; Arthropoda; Insecta; Lepidoptera; Bombycidae
Description: ovarian small RNA-21058
Source: RNAcentral
UACGCCCAGAAUGCCGAUGUUCGGCUUG